CUCUUAGAAGAUUUUCUCAAAAUCUCUUUCGGAGUACUUUCCUUCUUACUGUUUUGUCAAAGAGUAGACCCACAACACCAGCGACAUCAAUCUGCCCAAUUCCGCAACCACCGCCUUCAAAAAACGUUCCCACACAAACCUACAUCUAACAGCUCUCUUAAGAACUAAAAUCACCACUAUCCGCCACUGCCACCACACACAUAUAACUCCCUCUUUUGCGCCUCACAUCUAGUUCCAUUAAAUCUCGGCUCCAUCUCCUUCAAUUUAUAAACCCAUUUUUAGCGUCAUUGAAGUUCUUAUCUGCACCCACGCUCCAACCCUCUACGGUGAGCAAAUCCUUUUUUUUUUUUUAAUCCAACGCCAGCAGAAUCUUAACUCAAUAUGACAAGAUUAGACCCACCCAACUCGCUCCAUAAUGUAUUUCCAGUUCAUCAAUUUCUCUGUCAAUGCCUACAGAACACGUUGGUACCUCCAUCAGCUCACCUCUCUUUGGUUUUCAACGAAGGCCCAUUUCAGUUCAUGCUCCUCUACCUCGAUUUCAGCUGUUGAUUUUCUCUCUAUGGCUCCAUUUUGAUUUCAACAAUGUCAAACCCAUCUUGCUCGGCCAUAAGUUUUCGGAUUUUGCUUUAGUUGCUUUCAAAGUCCUUCAUUUUGUUUGCAUUACUUGUUUGGGUGUAGGUAUAAUCCAUCUCCCUAUGUUAUAUGUUAUAAAUUUGUCCCUAAAACUGAAUGUUUGUUUUAUGAUAUUGGGUUUAAUUUUAAUAUAAUUCGGAUGAAUUCUAUUAGCUAGGAAUUUGUUGGUUCAACCCUUUGCUGUAGAUGAGUUUUAUAGGAAUAUUUAUUACUUAUUAAAAUUGAUUCUCAUCUUAUUGUAAAAUCUUAUUUGUGAAAAUGAUCAAACUGUAACUCAUUCCCUCUAGAUCUGUAUGUUGAAUGCUUUAAAAUGGUUCUUGUUGUAGUGUGAUUUGAUUCAACAUUGAAAGUCAAUAUCGAAUCUGUAAUGGUAAAUCUGCGAUUAUUGUUUAAAAAAUGAUGUUGCAACUGUGCCUUUAAAAGAUUGAAAUUAUAACUUAUGUUUAGUAUUGUCAAUGCUUGGUUUGUUAUUAGUUUUGGUAGCAUAGUAUGUGUCAUUUUUCUUGAGUUCCGAAAUAAUGGUUACAAGGCUAUUUUGCUAGAAAUCAACUAAGCUAUGGGUGUUUUGAUUGUCAUU
Molecule: unclassified non-coding RNA, 1210 nt
Filed under: Hevea brasiliensis (rubber tree)
Lineage: Eukaryota; Viridiplantae; Streptophyta; Magnoliopsida; Malpighiales; Euphorbiaceae
Source: RNAcentral